GACGAACGCUGGCGGCGCGCUUAACACAUGCAAGUCGAACGGAAAGGCCCUGCUUUUGUGGGGUGCUCGAGUGGCGAACGGGUGAGUAACACGUGAGUAACCUGCCCUUGCCUCUGGGAUAACUUCAGGAAACCGGGGCUAAUACCGGAUAGGAGCUCCUGCUGCACGGUGGGGGUCGGAAAGUUUCGGCGGUUGGGGAUGGACUCGCGGCUUAGCAGCUUGUUGGUGGGGUAGUGGCUUACCAAGGCUUUGACGGGUAGCCGGCCUGAGAGGGUGACCGGCCACAUUGGGAAUGAGAUACCGCCCAGACUCCUACGGGAGGCAGCAGUGGGGAAUAUUGCACUGUGGGAGGAAGCCUGAGGCAGCGACGCCGCGUGCGGGGUGACGGCCUUCGGGUUGUAAACCGCUUUCGCCUGUGACGAAGCGUGAGUGACGGUAAUGGGUGAAGAAGCACCGGCUAACUACGUG
This 468-nucleotide ribosomal RNA is filed under the name uncultured bacterium. RNAcentral describes it as "partial 16S ribosomal RNA". It matches the Rfam family "Bacterial small subunit ribosomal RNA", at positions 28 to 507 of the family's 1533-position model. The record is from RNAcentral.